Molecule: ribosomal RNA, 257 nt
Filed under: uncultured bacterium
Lineage: Bacteria
Description: partial 16S ribosomal RNA
Rfam family: Bacterial small subunit ribosomal RNA
Source: RNAcentral
UACGUAGGGGGCGAGCGUUGUCCGGAUUUAUUGGGCGUAAAGAGCUCGUAGGCGGCUCGAUAAGUCGGAUGUGAAAUCUCCACGCUCAACGUGGAGGGGCCAUUCGAUACUGUCGUGACUCGAGUCCGGUAGGGGAGUGUGGAAUUCCCGGUGUAGCGGUGAAAUGCGCAGAUAUCGGGAAGAACACCCGUGGCGAAGGCGGUUCUCUGGGACGGUACUGACGGCUGAGACGCGAAAGCGUGGGGGAGCGAACAGGG